Molecule: transfer RNA, 53 nt
Filed under: Ovis aries (sheep)
Lineage: Eukaryota; Metazoa; Chordata; Mammalia; Artiodactyla; Bovidae
Rfam family: tRNA
About the family: Transfer RNA (tRNA) molecules are approximately 80 nucleotides in length.
Source: Rfam by way of RNAcentral
ACCCAGGUAGCUCAGUGGUAAAGAAUCUGCCUGCCAAGCAGGAGACCUGGGUU